GCAAGUCUGGUGCCAGCAGCCGCGGUAAUUCCAGCUCCAAUAGCGUAUAUUAAAGUUGUUGCAGUUAAAAAGCUCGUAGUUGAACUUUGGGUCUGUUUGGCCGGUCCGAUUUUUUCGUGUACUGGAAUCCCAAGCGGACCUUUCCUUCUGGCUAACCUUGGGUCCUUGUGGCUCUUGGCGAACCAGGAUUUUUACUUUGAAAAAAUUAGAGUGUUCAAAGCAGGCGUAUUGCUCGAAUAUAUUAGCAUGGAAUAAUAGAAUAGGACGUUUGGUUCUAUUUUGUUGGUUUCUAGGACCAUCGUAAUGAUUAAUAGGGACGGUCGGGGGCAUCAGUAUUCAAUUGUCAGAGGUGAAAUUCUUGGAUUUAUUGAAGACUAACUACUGCGAAAGCAUUUGCCAAA
This 401-nucleotide ribosomal RNA is filed under the name uncultured Kazachstania. RNAcentral's name for it is "SSU rRNA". It matches the Rfam family "Eukaryotic small subunit ribosomal RNA", at positions 555 to 962 of the family's 1831-position model. The record is from RNAcentral. Lineage: Eukaryota; Fungi; Ascomycota; Saccharomycetes; Saccharomycetales; Saccharomycetaceae.